Oncorhynchus tshawytscha (Chinook salmon) is the source of this 1181-nucleotide long non-coding RNA. The record is from Ensembl. Lineage: Eukaryota; Metazoa; Chordata; Actinopteri; Salmoniformes; Salmonidae.
CUCAGAUUUGUGCAGACUUCACAACGCAGAAUACCAAGUCACGACAGGAGAGAUGGAGAGAGACUGGGAGCAUGAGAGAAGCUGCAAGUCUAAAACGAAUGGGAGGACACCAGGAUAGUAAGGUUGACGGGGGUGGGCAUCUAUUACGUCAAAGGAAAGGGAGGACGUGCUGCACAGGUGUCACCUCUCUGGUCAGUCUCACCGGAGGAAAAGAAAGAGAGAGCAGGGACCUUCAGAGGCUCUGCUGCUCUCUCCCUCCCACUGCUGAGACUAAUGCCAUGUUCAAAAUAACUCAGAACUCGGACAUCUCCGACUUACGACUUCAUCUCCCACUCCCUGCCACUGAAAAACAUCCCCACAGCAUGAUGCUGCCACCACCAUGCUUCACCGCAGGGAUGGUAUUGGUCUGGUGAUGAGCGGUGCCUGGUUUCCUUCAGACGUGAUGCUUGGCAUUCAGACCAAAGAGAUCAAUCUUGGUUUCAUCAGACCAGAGAAUCUUGUUUCUCAUGGUCUGAGAGUCCUUUAGGUGCCAUUUGGCAAAGUCCAAGCGGGCUGUCAUGUGCCUGUUACUGAAGAGUGGCUUCCAUCUGGCCACUCUACCAUAAAGGCCUGAUUGGUGGAGUGCUGCAGAGAUGGUUGUCCUUCUGGAAGUUUCUCCCAUCUCCCCAGAGGAACUCUGGCGCUCUGUCAUAGUGGCCAUCGGGUUCUUGGGCACCUCCCUGACCAAGGCCCUUCUCCCCCAAUUGCUGAGUUUGGCCGGGCGGCCAUCUCUAGGGAGAGUUUUGGUGGUUCCAAACUUCUUGCAUUUAAGAAAGAUGAAGGCUACUGUUUUCUUGGGGACUUUCAAUGCUGCAAAAAUGUUUUGGUAAUGUUCCUCAGAUCUGUGCCUCGACACAAUCCUGUCUUGGUGCUCUACGGACAAUUCCUUCAACCUAAUGUCUUGGUUUUUGCUAUGAAAUGCACUGUCAAUUGUGGGACCUUAUAUAGAUGUGUGUGCCUUUCCAAAUCAUGUCCAAUCAUUUGAAUUUACCACAGGUGGACUCCAAUCAAGUUGUAGAAACAUCUCAAGGAUAAUCAAUGGAAACAGGAUGCACCUGAGCUCAAUUUCGAGUCUCUUAGCAAAGGGUCUGGAUACCUAUGAAAAGACUGUAUUUUCUGCUUGAAAUUUGUAAUAGAUUUGC